GCGUCCUACAGACUUUAAUAUUAAUUGACAAAAGUCACCCUAUUUUGAAAAGUGAAACAACCCAAACACCAUUUAAAAAGGACUGUCGUCCCGCCCAAGUAUCCCAACAGGGGAAGACAGGAGGACGACCGCAGGGGACGCGUAGUUACUCAGAUCAUUCCUACUUUCAAGUAAGACCUGACAAUGCGAGCCAUCAUUCCACUGUUGGUGCUGAUAGUCGGCGUGGCCGUGAUGAUGACACGGGCAGAUGAUUCAUCAUCAACAUCAACAACCACCACA
Molecule: long non-coding RNA, 279 nt
Organism: Haliotis rubra (blacklip abalone)
Lineage: Eukaryota; Metazoa; Mollusca; Gastropoda; Lepetellida; Haliotidae
Exons: 3
Source: RefSeq, a predicted model, not a curated record